This 618-nucleotide ribosomal RNA is filed under the name Willaertia magna. RNAcentral's name for it is "bacterial SSU rRNA". It matches the Rfam family "Eukaryotic small subunit ribosomal RNA", at positions 619 to 1166 of the family's 1831-position model. Lineage: Eukaryota; Heterolobosea; Eutetramitea; Acrasida; Naegleriidae. The record is from RNAcentral.
UUAAAACGCCCGUAGUAGGUUUAAUGGGAAUAUCCAUACAUUCCUGCUCAUUGUUGUGUGUGUAACUUGCGGGUAACACUGCGAGUGAUAGCAUACGAUGAGCCUCGCGGAGAUUGGUUUAUGCCAUGAUUCGAGGUUGUAUGGGUAUUUCUGUUCCCUGUUGUUCGCAACAGGAGGCCACUGCCUUUUGCACCUGUGAUAAAAUUGUUAUGCUUAAGGUCGGCUUUGUCAACAAGCUAGAGCAUCCUAGCAUGGGAUCGCUUGAAAGCUGUAUGUGAACAGAUGGGGGCAACCCUUGAGGGUCAUGUGCAGCGCUUGUAAUGGGGUAAGGGUGAGGUUCCGGGUACCAUGAGGCUAGAGGUGAAAUUCUGAGAACCUUAUGUGACCAACUAAUGCGAAAGCUGUCGUGAACCACCACAAACCCGUCUAUCAGGGACGAAAGUUGGGGGAUCGAAGACGAUUAGAUACCGUCGUAGUCCCAACUAUAAACGAUAUCAUCAGAAGGUUGGAGAGACACUUCAACUGAUCCCUUCAGAAUUCAAGGGAAACCGAAAGACUUUGGGUUCUGGGGGGAGUAUAGUCGCAAGACCGAAACUUAAAGGAAUUGACGGAAAGGCA